Brassica napus (rape) is the source of this 1425-nucleotide long non-coding RNA. RefSeq lists it as uncharacterized. The record is from RefSeq and is a predicted model, not a curated record. The transcript is spliced from 4 exons. Lineage: Eukaryota; Viridiplantae; Streptophyta; Magnoliopsida; Brassicales; Brassicaceae.
AAGAAAGAAACCAAACAAAUCUAUAUUAUAAUGAUACAGUUUCGAGACUCUUUAAGCUAUCGCAAGCAUGUGGGACCCACUUCUAUUAUUUUUUUUAAAUGUCAAAUUAUCAGAUUGUCGCGUUAUGGGUUUGAUCCGGCCCGCUACCGUCCUCCUAUGCAUCACCUUUGGCUGAUUAGGGUUGCCGUCUCCUUCAAGAUCCUUCGUUUGAGGGCGCUUCCUCUUCCACUAGAGUUCAGUUUUCUUACGAACUCCAAUAAUUUAUUGUCUCGAAAAAAUAGAAGUCGAUCGAGUAUCUUCCCUGCAGAGUAGUGUCAACAAUUGAUGGAAGAGCAAGGUUCUUCCAGAGGUAAUCAUGAGAUAUGGUUCCUCUUUGUCGAUUUAAUGAGUUCAUGCUUCUGUUACGUAAAAUAUCCGUGCUGAUAUACACAUGAGUGCUUGAAUUUAGUUACUUGAUCUCUGGAUUUUUAUGGAUUCACUCUAGAUUUGUCAAUUGAGAUUUAUUUUUCUGAAUGAUGUUUGUUAAUCAAAAGACUGAGUUGAUUUUCACUAUUGUUUGUUUUUUUUGAAAUGUCUUUGAUGUUGAGAAGUUUGGUUAAUUCUUCAUCUCCUUAAAUCUUCCAUGGUAAAUAUUUAAGCGAUUAUCUAAACAAUUAUUUGGCUAUCUCUUUUAUCUUUUUGAAUAAAUGUUAAAUUAAUUCAAGACGAAACCUGAUUUACAAGAUAUGUGACUCUGUUUUGAGUACUAUCAAAGUCUCGUCGUGAAAAUAAAGAAAAAAUGAAGCGUGUAUAGGAAAAAAAAUUUGAGAAAUUUUAAUGCUGAAACUCCAUGGCUGUCGCAAGCUGGAAGAAAACCACAUCUCCAUGGCUUUCUCAAGCCUUUUAUUUCCCAUUCCUCGAACAGAAGAGACUCUUUUUUGAAUCUGUUAAUUUGACUCUUUUUAUAUUUAAUUGUUUCUGAUUAUCAUCUUUUUAUUGUCUCACGUAGAAGAUGAUAAUCAGAGCUUAGCUCUUUCCUACAUCGGCUCUUCAACAAAGGUCAAGAACUGUUCAUGUGAUAGAAGAGGGACCAUGCGAGCAAAGGAAUCAGUUGUUUUCUGUUUUAGGGUCUCUCACUGAUCCAGAAGAAGAAGAAUCAAAGGAAUCCUCAGAGGACAGGUUGCUUCUGUAUAUAUUUAACUACCAAGAAGAAGAAGUUUGCAAGUGGAGUUCAGUUGCAACUCAUGCGGAGAGAGAAGAACUAAACGGCUUAUCAACCGUUUGGCUUAUGAACGUGGCCUUGUCUUUGUCCAGUGUGGUGGAUGUCUUAAGCAUCAUAAGCUGGUUGAAAAUCUUGGUCAUUGUUGAGUAUGACUUCCGCAAAGAAACCUCCAAGGAUUCAAGUACUGAUCAAAUUUGAUAUGAUUUUAUUUUCUGCAAAGAAUA